This 236-nucleotide ribosomal RNA is filed under the name uncultured bacterium. Its description in RNAcentral is "partial 16S ribosomal RNA". It matches the Rfam family "Bacterial small subunit ribosomal RNA", at positions 118 to 354 of the family's 1533-position model. The record is from RNAcentral.
UGAGGAACAUGACCUUCGGCGGGGGAUAGCCGGCCCAACUGCCGGGUAAUACCGCGUACGACCUUUCGGGGACAUCCCUGGAAGGUGAAAGCAGCAAUGCGCCGAUGGAGUGCCUCGCGGCCUAUCAGCUAGUUGGUGAGGUAACGGCUCACCAAGGCGACGACGGGUAGCUGGUCUGAGAGGAUGGCCAGCCACAUUGGGACUGAGACACGGCCCAGACCUCCCGACGGGAGCAG